GUGGGGAAUUUUGGACAAUGGGCGCAAGCCUGAUCCAGCAAUGCCGCGUGCAGGAAGAAGGCCUUCGGGUUGUAAACUGCUUUUGUACGGAACGAAACGGUCCGGGUUAAUACCCUGGGCUAAUGACGGUACCGUAAGAAUAAGCACCGGCUAACUACGUGCCAGCAGCCGCGGUAAUACGUAGGGUGCAAGCGUUAAUCGGAAUUACUGGGCGUAAAGCGUGCGCAGGCGGUUUUGUAAGACAGGCGUGAAAUCCCCGGGCUCAACCUGGGAAUUGCGCUUGUGACUGCAAGGCUGGAGUGCGGCAGAGGGGGAUGGAAUUCCGCGAGUAGCAGUGAAAUGCGUAGAUAUGCGGAGGAACACCGAUGGCGAAGGCAAUCCCCUGGGCCUGCACUGACGCUCAUGCACGAAAGCGUGGGGAGCAAACAGGAUUAGAAACCCUGGUAGUCC
RNAcentral lists this ribosomal RNA (450 nucleotides) under uncultured bacterium. Its description in RNAcentral is "bacterial SSU rRNA". It matches the Rfam family "Bacterial small subunit ribosomal RNA", at positions 354 to 796 of the family's 1533-position model. The record is from RNAcentral.